ACAGGUGUAGAGAUACACUCUCCCUUCGGGCAAUGGAUACAGGUGGUGCAUGGUUGCCGUCAGCUCGUGCCGUGAGGUGUUGGGUUAAGUCCCGCAACGAGCGCAACCCUCAUUGUUAGUUACUACCAUUCAGUUGAGGACUCUAAUGAGACUGCCAACGACAAGUUGGAGGAAGGUGGGGAUGACGUCAAAUCAUCAUGCCCUUUAUGACCUGGGCUACAAACGUACUACAAUGGCCAAUACAAAGAGAUGCGAAGCGGUGACGUGGAGCGAACCUCAGAAAGUUGGUCUCAGUUCAGAUUAAAGUCUGCAACUCGACUUCAUGAAGGCGGAAUCGCUAGUAAUCGCGGGUCAGCAGACCGCGGUGAAUACGUUCCCGGGUUUU
RNAcentral lists this ribosomal RNA (385 nucleotides) under uncultured Mollicutes bacterium. Its description in RNAcentral is "bacterial SSU rRNA". It matches the Rfam family "Bacterial small subunit ribosomal RNA", at positions 994 to 1382 of the family's 1533-position model. Lineage: Bacteria; Bacillati; Mycoplasmatota; Mollicutes. The record is from RNAcentral.